This 459-nucleotide ribosomal RNA is filed under the name uncultured bacterium. RNAcentral's name for it is "partial 16S ribosomal RNA". It matches the Rfam family "Bacterial small subunit ribosomal RNA", at positions 338 to 795 of the family's 1533-position model. The record is from RNAcentral.
CCUACGGGGUGCUGCAGUGAGGAAUAUUGGUCAAUGGACGGAAGUCUGAACCAGCCAUGCCGCGUGCAGGAAGAAGGCGCCAGGCGUCGUAAACUUCUUUUGUCGGGGAACAAAGGGCGCCACGUGUGGCGUUGUGAGUGUACCCGAAGAAAAAGCAUCGGCUAACUCCGUGCCAGCAGCCGCGGUAAUACGGAGGAUGCGAGCUUUAUCCGGAUUUAUUGGGUUUAAAGGGUGCGUAGGCGGUCCGGAAAGUCAGCGGUAAAAGCCCGGGGCUCAACCCCGGCGAGCCGUUGAAACUGUCGGACUAGAGAGGGCGAGAAGUACGCGGAAUGCGCGGUGUAGCGGUGAAAUGCAUAGAUAUCGCGCAGAACUCCGAUUGCGAAGGCAGCGUACCGGCGCCGGACUGACGCUGAGGCACGAAAGCGCGGGGAUCGAACAGGAUUAGAUACCCGUGUAGUC